CGCUAGCUACAGGCUUAACACAUGCAAGUCGAGGGGCAGCAUUUCAGUUUGCUUGCAAACUGGAGAUGGCGACCGGCGCACGGGUGAGUAACACGUAUCCAACCUGCCGAUAACUCGGGGAUAGCCUUUCGAAAGAAAGAUUAAUACCCGAUGGUAUAGUCAGACCGCAUGGUCUUGUUAUUAAAGAAUUUCGGUUAUCGAUGGGGAUGCGUUCCAUUAGGCAGUUGGUGAGGUAACGGCUCACCAAACCUUCGAUGGAUAGGGGUUCUGAGAGGAAGGUCCCCCACAUUGGAACUGAGACACGGUCCAAACUCCUACGGGAGGCAGCAGUGAGGAAUAUUGGUCAAUGGGCGCAGGCCUGAACCAGCCAAGUAGCGUGAAGGAUGACUGCCCUAUGGGUUGUAAACUUCUUUUAUAUGGGAAUAAAGUUUUCCACGUGUGGAAUUUUGUAUGUACCAUAUGAAUAAGGAUCGGCUAACUCCGUGCCAGCAGCCGCGGUAAUACGGAGGAUCCGAGCGUUAUCCGGAUUUAUUGGGUUUAAAGGGAGCGUAGGUGGACAGUUAAGUCAGUUGUGAAAGUUUGCGGCUCAACCGUAAAAUUGCAGUUGAUACUGGCUGUCUUGAGUACAGUAGAGGUGGGCGGAAUUCGUGGUGUAGCGGUGAAAUGCUUAGAUAUCACGAAGAACUCCGAUUGCGAAGGCAGCUCACUGGACUGCAACUGACACUGAUGCUCGAAAGUGUGGGUAUCAAACAGGAUUAGAUACCCUGGUAGUCCACACAGUAAACGAUGAAUACUCGCUGUUUGCGAUAUACAGUAAGCGGCCAAGCGAAAGCAUUAAGUAUUCCACCUGGGGAGUACGCCGGCAACGGUGAAACUCAAAGGAAUUGACGGGGGCCCGCACAAGCGGAGGAACAUGUGGUUUAAUUCGAUGAUACGCGAGGAACCUUACCCGGGCUUAAAUUGCAUUUGAAUAUAUUGGAAACAGUAUAGCCGUAAGGCAAAUGUGAAGGUGCUGCAUGGUUGUCGUCAGCUCGUGCCGUGAGGUGUCGGCUUAAGUGCCAUAACGAGCGCAACCCUUAUCUUUAGUUACUAACAGGUCAUGCUGAGGACUCUAGAGAGACUGCCGUCGUAAGAUGUGAGGAAGGUGGGGAUGACGUCAAAUCAGCACGGCCCUUACGUCCGGGGCUACACACGUGUUACAAUGGGGGGUACAGAAGGCAGCUACCUGGUGACAGGAUGCUAAUCCCAAAAGCCUCUCUCAGUUCGGAUCGAAGUCUGCAACCCGACUUCGUGAAGCUGGAUUCGCUAGUAAUCGCGCAUCAGCCAUGGCGCGGUGAAUACGUUCCCGGGCCUUGUACACACCGCCCGUCAAGCCAUGAAAGCCGGGGGUACCUGAAGUACGUAACCGCAAGGAGCGUCCUAGGGUAAAACUGA
RNAcentral lists this ribosomal RNA (1434 nucleotides) under uncultured organism. RNAcentral describes it as "SSU rRNA". It matches the Rfam family "Bacterial small subunit ribosomal RNA". The record is from RNAcentral.